Molecule: long non-coding RNA, 1010 nt
Filed under: Oryza sativa (Asian cultivated rice)
Lineage: Eukaryota; Viridiplantae; Streptophyta; Magnoliopsida; Poales; Poaceae
Description: long non-coding RNA (OSAT_LNC000560)
Source: RNAcentral
CCAGCUUACCUUGCAAGGACUUGACGCUCCGUCUCGAGAACGCGAUGGCGUCGUCGAGCGCCGCUUCUUCGCCGGGGCAUGGCGAGGUGCGCUGCGUUGUAGAGGCUUAGCAGGCCCCUUGCGUCCGUGCUCAGGUUUUCUCUGAAACAACCCGUGCUAUCUUUGAACUUGUCGAAUACAUCUGCAUGAACAAAUUUCUAGCUGUAAGGGUGUACACACUAGUACUAUAUAUGCUCCAGGGAUUAUAUUUAUCCAAAUGAAUCAGAGAUGGGAGAGAUGUGUGUUCAAAUAACAAGCUUUAGAUCGAACCUUGUUUGAUCUUUGUCGUAUUUUAGAAUUCAUUUAGUGUUUUUUUCACCGUAUUUUUUUUCAACCUCAGUUUUUGGACUGUUAUAUACUGAAUUUAUUUCCAUUCUUUUGAUUUUGUGUCCCAAUUUAUACGCUCCUAGCUAUCAAUGAAAAUGUCUUCUAACUGAUUCGGCAAUUAUAUUCAUUCUAUAUCAAUAUGUACAUAUAUAUAACAAAAUAUUCUCCUACAAAACUGCAGAGAGAUUGAAUUAUACUCCGAGUUACCUGCAGAUACCAAGAAACCAUGCUGGCGAAGUAGACGAAACCUAAGGGAUUCAAGGUGGAGCAAGUCAGCAGCAGCAACGCUGUCGGCGUGCUCCUUAUGGUGCAAUAAUAAUACAUGCUGUAACGCUACGGUGAUCUCGUCGCGGAAGUGGUCGUCUAUGUGGAGGCGUUCGAGCACGUCCACUAGCAUCACCGUGUAGGCCAUACUCGUGGCCUUCGACAGCUUGCAGCGCACCUGCCUCUUUAGCUGAUCCACAUGUUCCCUCAUCCACUUCUCUGACAUCUGAAAACAUAUGCACGAGCAAUUAAAUCCAAGAGAGCCAUAGUUAAAGGGGAAUUACAUCCAUGCGUAAAGUCUCAUAUUCAAAUUCAUAUUAUACAGAGACAAAAAAACAAAAUUAUAUACUCUCAAAACUAUCAUAAUUUUUAUCAUGUUU